Molecule: ribosomal RNA, 301 nt
Filed under: uncultured bacterium
Lineage: Bacteria
Description: partial 16S ribosomal RNA
Rfam family: Bacterial small subunit ribosomal RNA
Source: RNAcentral
CAGUCGCCACGGUAAUGCGUAGGGUGCAAGCGUUAAUCGGAAUUACUGGGCGUAAAGCGUGCGCAGGCGGUUCGUUAAGACAGAUGUGAAAUCCCUGGGCUUAACCUGGGAACUGCAUUUGUGACUGGCGGGCUAGAGUAUGGCAGAGGGGGGUAGAAUUCCACGUGUAGCAGUGGAAUGCGUAGAGAUGUGGAGGAAUACCGAUGGCGAAGGCAGCCCCCUGGGCCAAUACUGACGCCCAUGCACGAAAGCGUGGGGAGCAAACAGGAUUAGAUACCCCUGUAGUCCCUGUCUCUUAUAU